Anas platyrhynchos (mallard) is the source of this 876-nucleotide non-coding RNA. NCBI's taxonomy places the organism in Eukaryota, Metazoa, Chordata, Aves, Anseriformes, Anatidae. The record is from RefSeq and is a predicted model, not a curated record.
UGUGGUCUAAACUUUUGGGUAGACCUGUGCGGUGCCAGGAGUUGGACUUGAUGAUCCUUACGGGUCCCUUCCAGCUCAGGAUAUUCUAUGAUUCUAUAAAUAGUGUAGUCAGAGGUCAUGGGGCUAGAUUUAGAAAAGUCCUGCAUAAAGAAGGGAUCUCAGAGAAGAAAAUGUAAAUAACAUUAAUAUCAAGAAGAGGAAUUCUGAUUGCUAAAUUCUUUAUCUGUCAUGACUAGACAGAUGAAAGUCUAUGGCGGCAAGUUUGCCUUUAAGGUCAUUUUCUUUUUUAUUCAUUUCUUUUAUUUAUUUGUAUUUAUUUUUUUAACAGGCUCUGUACUAAUUUUGCUCACAGAAUGACUAACAGAAAUACGACCCUUGUGCACCUUUUGUAGUUAAUGCAUUAGGUCAACUGUAACCACUAAGCCCCUUGUCAGGUUAUUUCUACUAGUGAUAAGGAGCAAUAGACCUUAAAACUUUGAAGCCAGGUAGACAAGCUUAUUCCACAAGGUCUCUUGGCUCCACCCUUGUUAAGUGAAACCUGCCAGGUGUGGGUCAUUUGACCUUUGCUAUAUAGGAAGCCUGAGGACUUGUGGGGGAAUUGCCUCCCCAGGAGAGACUGAGGCUUGGGUAGCCUAGGGUGUUUUUCUCUUUUCUCUCAUGGUGAAUUGGGCUCAGUGUUCCCUACUAGGCUGCUUUUCCUUCAUGUUUUCUGCCCUCUCUGUGAAAUAGUUUUAGAGACUCUAUGAGCUACUUACAUUAGUGGUGCCUUCUUCAGAAAAACCCUGGUGGCAUUAUUUCACUGCAAAGCACUUUGGAAGUGACUCGAGUUCAGAAGACAGCAGGUGGAUUCUAAGCUCCCUUCCAAGCACUGGAGGG